AGAGUUCGAUUCUGGCUCAGGAUGAACGCUGGCGGCGUGCUUAACACAUGCAAGUCGAACGGGAAACCUUUUAUUGAAGCUUCGGCAGAUUUAGCUGGUUUCUAGUGGCGGACGGGUGAGUAACGCGUGGGUAACCUGCCUUAUACAGGGGGAUAACAGUCAGAAAUGACUGCUAAUACCGCAUAAGCGCACAGGACCGCAUGGUCCGGUGUGAAAAACUCCGGUGGUAUAAGAUGGACCCGCGUUGGAUUAGCUCGUUGGUGAGGUAACGGCUCACCAAGGCAACGAUCCAUAGCCGGCCUGAGAGGGUGAACGGCCACAUUGGGACUGAGACACGGCCCAG
Molecule: ribosomal RNA, 343 nt
Filed under: uncultured bacterium
Lineage: Bacteria
Description: bacterial SSU rRNA
Rfam family: Bacterial small subunit ribosomal RNA
Source: RNAcentral